GGGGGAAGCUUUUAGACUAAGUCUAAUAUAGUUGUAAUGUAGGCUAAAUACUUCAAUUUAGAGAACUAGUCAGGAAAAUUCCAGCAUCUGGUCUGCAGUAGUUGCCAGUCCCCAGGCCCGCCGCAACUGCAGGACAGAAGAAUGCUUUCACAGGAAGUAGGAGAUGGCUACUCCUGCAAGAAGGGAGGAGCCCCGACCCUGCUGGCUAUGAAAAAAGGAAACCAUCCAGGGGACAAUGAAUGUCUAUGAACCGGCUCUCAAGAUGCAGAGGCACAAAGAUUCUGAAUUCUAAGAUUCGAAGUCUUUAAGUUUGGAUACAGAGACCCUAUGCCAAUAAACAACAAGCAAGCAAGCAAA
This 357-nucleotide long non-coding RNA is filed under the name Mus caroli (Ryukyu mouse). Its description in RNAcentral is "lncRNA (MGP_CAROLIEiJ_G0006680.1)". The record is from RNAcentral. Lineage: Eukaryota; Metazoa; Chordata; Mammalia; Rodentia; Muridae.